UUCAUUCAAGGAAAAAAAAAAAAGGUAAUAGUUUGGCCAAUAUUCGUUUAAUUUUUAAUGGAUUGUUUGGGCUGAAGGCCCAUGAUCCAUUCCAGAUCCCCUUGCCUAAGUCGCUACUCCGCCUGCAACAAGUGCUAGUGGGCACAAAAAUGGAGUUCGCAAGCAGAUUGGUCACGUGGCUAUCGAUGUGCUGUUGUGGAGUGCUUCAGGGGUGUAGCUGUAGAAAGUAACAAAGGUUUUGGUGGAAUUUGCAAGCAUUGAAGACCACCUUCCAGCAUCUCUAAGACCUUUGUCAUUGAUGGUCUAUCUGAGGGAUUGGUUUGAAUGCACCAAAAACCCACAAUGUACAUCUUUCUGGUGAUUAUCUCUGCUUCCUCGACUGUUAUAUUCUCAUCAAGAAUAGAAUUCUGCCCCAAUUCAAGAUGCUUAUAAAUCCAAUCCGGAAAAUACAUUUCGCUGCUUUGAGAUGCUCCAACAUCAAUAUUGUUUCUUCCUCCAAACAUUUCAAGAAUCAUCAUUCCAUAACUAUACACAUCAGACUUGUAAGAAACUCUACCAAAGCUUCUCAUGAAUACUUCUGGAGCUAUAUAUCCUGGAGUCCCUCUCGCACCCAGCACUGAGACUAUACUUUCCUUUCUCUUGCAUAGCUUUGCAAGACCAAAGUCUGAGAUUUUUGGGCAAAAAUCUUCAUCUAGGAGAACAUUUUGAGGUUUUAUGUCAAAAUGCACGAUCCUGGUAUUACAACCACGAUGUAAGUAUUCUAGACCUCUAGCAAUGCCAAUUGCAAUAUCAUGUAAUAUUUUCUGCUCUAACCGGCAUUUGUUAUGCUCAGAACAUUGAUCAUUUAUGAACUUAUCUAGAGAUCCAUUUGGCAUGUA
Molecule: long non-coding RNA, 878 nt
Organism: Hevea brasiliensis (rubber tree)
Lineage: Eukaryota; Viridiplantae; Streptophyta; Magnoliopsida; Malpighiales; Euphorbiaceae
Exons: 2
Source: RefSeq, a predicted model, not a curated record